ACUCAAAUGAAUAGACGGGGGCCCGCACAAGCGGUGGAGCAUGUGGUUUAAUUCGACGCAACGCGAAGAACCUUACCUGGGCUUGACAUGCACCGGACAGGUGUAGAAAUACACCCUCCCUUCGGGGCCGGUGCACAGGUGCUGCAUGGCUGUCGUCAGCUCGUGUCGUGAGAUGUUGGGUUAAGUCCCGCAACGAGCGCAACCCUUGCCUUUAGUUGCCAGCGGGUGAUGCCGGGCACUCUAGAGGGACUGCCGGUGGUAAGCCGGAGGAAGGUGGGGAUGACGUCAAGUCCUCAUGGCCCUUACGUCCAGGGCUACACACGUGCUACAAUGGCUGGCACAGAGGGUUCCAAUACCGUGAGGUGGAGGCAAUCCCAAAAAACCAGUCUCAGUUCGGAUUGCAGUCUGCAACUCGACUGCAUGAAGGCGGAAUCGCUAGUAAUCGCUGAUCAGCAGGCAGCGGUGAAUACGUUCCCGGGCCUUGUACACACCGCCCGU
This 498-nucleotide ribosomal RNA is filed under the name uncultured bacterium. RNAcentral describes it as "partial 16S ribosomal RNA". It matches the Rfam family "Bacterial small subunit ribosomal RNA", at positions 899 to 1397 of the family's 1533-position model. The record is from RNAcentral.